RNAcentral lists this ribosomal RNA (428 nucleotides) under uncultured Bacillus sp. RNAcentral describes it as "partial 16S ribosomal RNA". It matches the Rfam family "Bacterial small subunit ribosomal RNA", at positions 355 to 774 of the family's 1533-position model. The record is from RNAcentral. Lineage: Bacteria; Bacillati; Bacillota; Bacilli; Caryophanales; Bacillaceae.
UAGGGAAUCUUCCGCAAUGGACGAAAGUCUGACGGAGCAACGCCGCGUGAACGAGGAAGGUCUUCGGAUCGUAAAGUUCUGUUGUUAGGGAAGAACAAGUACCGCUUAAAUAAGGCGGUACCUUGACGGUACCUAACGAGAAAGCCACGGCUAACUACGUGCCAGCAGCCGCGGUAAUACGUAGGUGGCAAGCGUUAUCCGGAAUUAUUGGGCGUAAAGCGCGCGCAGGUGGUUUCUUAAGUCUGAUGUGAAAGCCCCCGGCUCAACCGGGGAGGGUCAUUGGAAACUGGGAGACUUGAGUGCAGGAGAGGAAAGUGGAAUUCCACGUGUAGCGGUGAAAUGCGUAGAGAUGUGGAGGAACACCAGUGGCGAAGGCGACUUUCUGGCCUGCAACUGACACUGAGGCGCGAAAGCGUGGGGAGCAAACA